This 483-nucleotide ribosomal RNA is filed under the name uncultured bacterium. Its description in RNAcentral is "bacterial SSU rRNA". It matches the Rfam family "Bacterial small subunit ribosomal RNA", at positions 28 to 507 of the family's 1533-position model. The record is from RNAcentral.
GAUGAACGCUAGCGGCAGGCUUAACACAUGCAAGUCGAACGGCAGCACAGGUAGCAAUACUGGGUGGCGAGUGGCGCACGGGUGCGUAACGCGUAUGCAACCUACCUUUAACUGGGAGAUAGCCCGAAGAAAUUCGGAUUAAUACCCCAUAAUAUAUGUCUUUCGCAUGUUAGACAUAUUAAAGCUUCGGCGGUUAAAGAUGGGCAUGCGUAACAUUAGCUAGUUGGUAAGGUAACGGCUUACCAAGGCUACGAUGUUUAGGGGGCCUGAGAGGGUUAUCCCCCACACUGGAACUGAGACACGGUCCAGACUCCUACGGGAGGCAGCAGUGAGGAAUAUUGGUCAAUGGACGAAAGUCUGAACCAGCCAUGCCGCGUGCAGGAAGACGGCCCUACGGGUUGUAAACUGCUUUUGUAUAGGAAUAAACCCCCGACGUGUUCGGGGCUGAAGGUACUAUACGAAUAAGCACCGGCUAACUCCGUG